RNAcentral lists this unclassified non-coding RNA (240 nucleotides) under soil metagenome. RNAcentral's name for it is "partial contains 5.8S ribosomal RNA, internal transcribed spacer 2, and large subunit ribosomal RNA". The record is from RNAcentral.
AACUGAUACUACCUGCGGGAACCUGCGGAAGGAUCAUUAUAGAGUGAAUGGCUUUGGCCUAAUCUCUCCCCCCUUGUCUUUUUCUUACCAUGUUGCUUUGGUGGAUUAGCCCCCUAACAGGGCUUUGUCCGGGGAGGGAUAGUGGGUGUAAGCUCCAGUCCCGAAAGCCGGUGUCUGCCAGAGGCCUUUUUAAAUUCUUAUAGUUACAUGGUCUGAGUUGAAGAGGACAUAAUUUAUAAA